Long non-coding RNA from Hypanus sabinus (Atlantic stingray), 6236 nucleotides. RefSeq lists it as uncharacterized. The record is from RefSeq and is a predicted model, not a curated record. NCBI's taxonomy places the organism in Eukaryota, Metazoa, Chordata, Chondrichthyes, Myliobatiformes, Dasyatidae. The transcript has 3 exons.
UUUUGAUUGGAAGGUUGCUGCCGUUGAGUCUAUGACCAAGGACUAUGAGGCUCUGCUUCAGACGGAAACAAACUUCAGAUUUCCUCGUGUGUGUUCACAUCUCUGAAAACUGUGGAAAAGAAGUCUGGCUGCUGACAGGAGAGGGGACCUGCCACUCAAGUAAUGGGUAUUGACAGCUAAACUCACUGUGAAGAAUAAAUAGAGCAGUGAACCCAGUGAACCCAGGGAGCACCCGAGGCCUCCUCUUCUGUCAAGAUGAAGCCACACUCAGGCUUGACCGAAAUUCACUUCCAUCACUCAUAACAGGUGAUAUGACUGCACCUAUACCAUAAGCCGGGGGGUCUCAGGCAAGCUUCACUGGACGAUGUGGAUCACAACGUGAGAGUACAGUGCCUGCUGUCACCACUUCCUUUGACUUUUGGAAACCCACUCACACUGCUUUGACCACUGCCAUUUCCUUUUGAUUUGUAGUAAUGAGUUCAAGAGGUGGAACAUAGUUAGCAGGUUUGGCAGAAACCCAUCACAGCAAUUGACAAAUCCGAAAAAGGACCGCAACUGUGACAUGUUCUUCAGCCUUUGGGCAGCCACCACUACUUGAAUUUUCUCGGCACACUUGUGAAAUUCUUGUGCGGCAAUGGUGUGCCCAUAGUAAGUGAUGCUUGGUUUUAAGAAUUCACGGUUGCUGCAUUGUGCUCUGAGCCCAUAAUCAUCUGAUCUUUUUAAUACUGACUUGAGGUUUUGGCGAUGCUCCUUGUCACCGAUAACAAUGAUAUCAUCCAGGUAACACCGAGUGCCUGGGCUGCUUUGCAGCAGCUAGUCUGUGGCUUUCUGCUGGAGAACAAUGCAGAUGCUACUCCAAAAAUAAAUCUAUUAUAGCGAUAAAGCCCUUUAAAUCACCAGAAACAACUUGUGAGAAGUUGUGGUGAGAAACAUUUUGAACUCUUCUUCCAUCUCCAUCUUUAGUUAGGCCUCAGCUAAGUCCAUUUUACUUAAGCAUUUCCCUCCAGAAAGGUUUGCGAAGGUGUCUGCUAUCCUGAGCAGAAGAUAUUGAUCUACGUCCUGUCCUGGGUUGAAAGUGAACUUAAUAUCAACACAGUUCCUGAUGCAUCCAUGCUUCUUGGCUACUGGGACCACUCACCUUGGAAAGAAUUCCUUCCGCCUCCAUGUCAUCUAGUUCACCAGCUACUCUAUCGAGGGUGGUAUAAGGAACUGGACGGGCUUUGUAAAACUUGGAUGUGGUGUUUUCAUUUAACGCUAUUUUACCAUUGCUAUAUUUGAGUUUUCCAAUGCCUAAUGUUAUACUGUGACAUCAUCCUGCACCUUUCUUAAUUUGCUUUCAGUUGACUCUGUUGCAGGGGAUGUGCCAUGCAAAUGGUGGAUAGAUCAAUCAAGUUGUAGUUGUCUCAACCAAUCAUGGCCCCAAAAUGGUGGCCCUGUUUUUACCACCUAGAAGCCAAUAUGGCUUUUUGAUACUUCUACUUCACUGUUACAAAUGUUAUUCCCACAAGAACUAUCUUUUCUCCAAGCUAAGUUCUUAGUUGGAUAUCUGCAGGCUUCAGUUCAGUAUCUUUCAGUUGCCAUUCAGACUCAUUUUGUGGGAUGACUGAAAUAGCCGAGCCAAUGGCCAUCUCCAUUUUAAUUAAUUUGCCAUUCACUUCUGGUGUAAGCCAUAUUACUUCACUGUUGUUAGUUUUCACAUUGUAAAUCUCAAGGCUAGUCUGUCCUGUGUUACACUCAUCGUUAUCAGAUUUUAUCAACAACAUGCAGUUUAUUGCUCUUUUUGAAACUGCAGCUUGACCUUUUAUCUUUAUCUCUCCCUUGUGCAGUCCACUUAUUUUUUCCUGCCCCACAUACUCUUUGUGUGUGUCUUACUUUGUUGCAUUUUCUGCAAGUUUGGCCUUUAAACCUGCAUUUGUCUGGUGUCUGUGAGCCCCUGCCAUAAUGGCAACAUACUUUUCCCCUAAUCAGGCAGGUUUCUGUUUAGUCAUUGAAAUUUUGUUCAAUCACACUUUCAUAACUGAUUGUAUCAAUUGCAUUUCUGUCUGCAGUUUCCAUUGUUUGAUUAGUGAUUUCAACUGCUCAUGUAGAUGUGUGUUGCACUUUGGUUAGGAGUUUUGUAUGCAUUCUUGCAAGAUUCUACAAACAAAAUGAUAUCUCAGAGCAUCAUUAAGCUCAUCACCGAACAGACAGUUCAUAGACAAUUUCUUCAAUUCAGCCACUUAAGCUGAAAUGGACUCCCUUUCCUUUUGAUUCUACUUAUAAAACCUAAAGCAUUCUGCAAUUAACAAUGGUUUUGGUUCUAAAUGUCUCUGCAUUACAUUCACAGUAUCAGCAAAGCUCAUUUCAGCUGGUCUGAUUGGAGCAAUUAAAUUUCUAAACAAACAGCUAUCAUACUCUAUAACAUGAGCAUUUGUUUCUUAUCAGCUAGUCCAUUUGCUUGAAAAUGCUGCUCACUUUAUUAAGAAUACAUCAUGCAGCUAUCCGUUGUGCAAUCGAUGCACAUCUAACUUUCUGAUGUAGCCAGCCAAUUCAGCUUUAAUUUUACCAUAGUUAUCAACCAGUACUCACUGUUUAUGAACCCAUGGCUGUACAUGUUGUUUGUUAAUUUCAUUCAUUUUCUACCUUUUCUUUAACUCAACCAUCUCCCCCCUUCCGAAAGAAACACAUGCUGCACUUUAUUUUAACUCAAACCUCUCUCUCUCUCUCACUCUCUCAAAAAUAUGCUGCACUUCAACAGGUAGGUAGUCAACUUGGGUUUGUUUUAAAACUUUCUCGUUGCCACAGUAAGGUUUUGUAACUCCCGAAACUAAUCAAACAAAAACAGGGGAGAUGCAUGUCUACUUAGUUUCUUCUUUAGGGAAGAACUCAAGUAUGAUGUGGUGGCUUAAUGACGUAUGCCAUUCAAGCACUUUUACAUAUAACCCAUAAUGAAUUGUGUAAACAAGAUUGCUUAAUCAAUGUAUUUACAAUAUUACUGAAAUAUUGAAUUGAAUUAAUCUUUCCCCAUUGUGGGCUUUAAAAAAAGAAUUAGCACAAUAUCUGAAAAUGGUUCUCCUUUGAGGUUCCAUUAGAGAUUGCUCGUCACUCAGUAGACCUCAUUGCCUUGAAAUAUUAGCCCCUCAGCACUCAUAGCAUCUGUUCAGUACAUAAGUGUAAGUUCUUAAAAUGAGGUGUCACUCAUCAGGAAAUAACAGACUAAUAACAUAUCGUUUAUGUAAUUGCUGUACAUCUGUUUAUGAGGAAAUAUGAUGUAUCAUUUGAGCUGUCCUGGAGAGAUAGCAUUGUACUGUCGCAUGAGCAAUGUUUGGAGAUGGGGAGAGUCAUUUAGUUUACUUCCUUGAGCAAACAGAUCCUCAGUUUCCUCACUUGCACACUCCAGACAGUUUGGUUUGGCAACAUCUCCUUCACAGUCACCAUCAGCAUGCGUGCAACACAAGGCUGUGUGCUUAGCUCUAUGUCCUUCGUGCUUUAUACUUACGGCACUGAGGCCAAGUACAGCUCCACAAAACCACUGCUGCUGGCCAAAUCAAAGGUGGUGGCAAAUUGGCAUACAGAAGGGAGACUGAGAAUCUGGUUGAAUGGUGUCACAACAGCAUCACACGCAACGUCGGCAAAACCAAGGAGCUGAUUAUAGACUACAGGUGGGGAAACUGGAGCUCCAUGAGCCAGUCCUCAUCAGGGUUUCAGAAGUGGAGAAGGUCAGUAAUUUUAAAUUCCUUGGUGCUAUAUUUCUUCACUAUUCUGGUUGGUGCGACUGUAAUGAAACCCAGUUUCCCCUCGGGAUCAAUAAAGUAUGUCUGUCUGUCUGUCUGUCUGUUGUUCCACAAGAUCUGUUCGGGGACCUCCAUACAAGUGCCGUCACAAAGAAGGCACAGUAGUGCCUCCACUUUCUUUGAAGUUUACACAGAUUCGGCAUGUCAUCCAAAGCUUUGAAAAACCUUCAUAGGUUCCACAAUAGUGUAGUGAAUAGCACGAUACUAUUACAUUCCGCAAUUCAGAUUCCGACACCGUUCUGUAAGGAGUCUCUGUACAUUCUUCCCAUGGAUUAUAUGGGUUUUCUCCAGGGGACCGCCCCCCCCCCCAGUUUCCUCUCACCGUCCAAAGACGUACUGGUUAGGUCAGUUGGUCCUCGUAAAUUGUCUAGUGAUUGGGUUAGUGCUAAUCAGGUUUGUUGCUGGUUGCUGGGGCGGUGGGGCUGGAAGGGGCCCACUCCACCGAGUAUGGCUGAAUAAUUAAAUAAUAAAAGGCACGGUGGAGAGCAUCCUGGCUGGUUGCAUCACGGCCUGGCAAGCAAACACCAGUGCCCACUAAAAGAAAGGCCUACCAAGCCUAAAGGCCUCACAAAGAUAGCUUGAGGGGCAGGUAGUUUUAAGGAAGCAGAGAGGCCACAGAAGGACUUGGAGAGACUAGGAGAAUGGGGAAGGAAGUGGCAGAUGGAAUAUGUUGACAGAAAGUGUAUGGUCAUACACUUGAUAGAAGUAGUAAAGGCAGAGACUAUUUUCUAAACAGGGGUAAAAUUUAGACAUUAGAGGUGCAAAGGGACUUGGGAGUCCUCGUGCAGGACUCCUUAAGGAUUAACUUGCAAGUUCAAUCAGAGGUAAGGAAGGCAAAUGCAGUUCAUUUCGAGAGGACUAGGAUAUAAAAGAUAUAAUGCUGUGGCUUGAUAAAGAAUUGGUCAGACUGUACGUGGAGUAUUGUGAGUAUUUUUUGGGUCUCUUAUCCAAGAAAAGAUGGGCUGGCAUUGGAGAGGGUCCAGAGGAUGUUCACGAGUCUGAUUCUGGAAAUGAAAGGGUUAAGGUAUGAGGAGCAUUUGAUGGCUCUGGAGCUGUACUUGCUGGAGUUUAGAAGAAACCUAUUGAAUAUUAAAAGGCCUGGAAAGAGUGGAUGUGGAGAGGACAUUUCCUAUCGUGGGGGAGUCAAGGACCAGAAGGCACAGCCUCAUGACAGAGGGACAUUCCUUUAGCACAUUGGUUGUUCGUAGUUUCUCAUGGAUUCUAUUGUUGUUUUUGUAUCUUCUGUGAAUGCCUGCAAGGAAAUGAAUCUCAGGGUAGCGUAUAGUGACAUAUACAUACUUUGACAAUAAAUUUACAUUGAAUUUUGAAAAUGAGGGCUAUGAUUUAACAGUCUCCUUAUGAAAAUUCCCUCUAUGAGGAGUCCGUCAUUGCCCAUGUAGAUAAUGUCUCUGUUCACUCCGUUCAGAGAUGAAACAGGAAACUCAAGAGACCGCAGAUACUGGAAUCGGGGCAAUAAACGGUUGAUAAAGCUAGGUCGUUCUCAGAAGGUCUCCUUGUCCUCCUGUUGUACGUACACCUGCUAAUCCUAUCUCAGUGUCCAGGGCUCUCUGCAGAGGAACAUGGAGCAUGUGACAGUGUGUUCCCUGCACUCUUGGACUGAUGAAGGUGAUGCAUUCUCACCUAGAGGAUGUGCUCUCCACUAUUUUUCUGAUAUUAGCAAACAAUCCAGAAGCCUGUUAGCCACUGUAACUUCAGGCAGUGUGGAGCCUCUCAGUGAUGAACCAUGUAUUCACUGUCAAAAAACAAUCAUGGAAGCUUCAAGUGUCUGCCCACAGCAAUGCUGUUAUUAUCAUUAUCAUCAGCCCUCUCCUUCUGUCCUCCCACUUUCUCAGGCUUUUCCUGCUGUUGUGAGCAGGGUGGAGUGUUGGGGUUUCUCCUCCUCACUACUAGCAAAGACAAAACAGAUGACACGUGCAGAUAAGCUGCACCCAAAACACUUUGGCAGUAACUAUGUCAGAUUAAUUCAAAGGAUAUCUGGUAAUCAGGAUCAAACAUCAUUAAUUGGCACACCGAGCAGAUUUCUUAUAUCCUCUGUUCAAGUGGCUGUGGUCUCAGUGAUCUCUCAGCCCAUGGAGAGGUCUCUUCUACCCUGAGACUACACCUUCUUCACCAGUCCUUACUGCUUCCUUCCUGUUUUUCAAUACUUUGGCCAAAAUGGAUGAGGUAAAUUAAAAUAAGUGUACGAGUGUGAGCGAGAGAGAGAGAGAGAGAGAGAGAGCGAUACUGUAUCUCUAAAACACACAGCAUUAAACAUCUCCUUUGUCCUCGCAAUCUCCCUCUCCUCCAUGGAAGCCAACACAAGGAGGGCGGAGCAAAGUCAAGAUGGCACUAAACGGCCACUCCUUUGCUUGCAUCUAAAAAUGGAAAGAACAUCUUGUGGGAUUUAAUUUACAGAAAUAUGGGUUUAUGCAAAUAAUAUCACAGCUCUGUUUCUAUCUUCGA